RNAcentral lists this RNase P RNA (386 nucleotides) under Ureibacillus manganicus DSM 26584. RNAcentral describes it as "Lysinibacillus manganicus DSM 26584 Bacterial RNase P class B". It matches the Rfam family "Bacterial RNase P class B". From Rfam's summary of the family: Ribonuclease P (RNase P) is a ubiquitous endoribonuclease, found in archaea, bacteria and eukarya as well as chloroplasts and mitochondria. Its best characterised activity is the generation of mature 5'-ends of tRNAs by cleaving the 5'-leader elements of precursor-tRNAs. Cellular RNase Ps are ribonucleoproteins. Lineage: Bacteria; Bacillati; Bacillota; Bacilli; Caryophanales; Caryophanaceae. The record is from Rfam by way of RNAcentral.
AAAUUCGAGUAAUCGCUGCAACUCAUAUGAAGUUGUAGAGGAAAGUCCAUGCUCACACGGCUCUGAGAUGACCGUAGUGUUCGUGCUUACUGAAAAAAUAAGGUAAGGCAAGGCUUAGCCUUGACGGCGGAAGGAAAACCUAAGUCGUUCUGAUAUGGUUGACACUUCCUGAAAGUGCCACAGUGACGGAGCUUCAUCGGAAACGGUGAAGGUGGAACGAGGUAAACCCCACGAGUGAGAAACCCAAAUUAUGGUAGGGGCACUCUCCUGAAGGAAAUGAACAGAUGGAGAGACGCGAUAAUUUUCGCGUAGAUAGAUGAUUACUACCCGGUUCGUACGAGGCGAAAGCCGUUUGAGUACUCGGGAACAAAACAUGGCUUAUUGAA